This 579-nucleotide long non-coding RNA is filed under the name Monodelphis domestica (gray short-tailed opossum). RNAcentral describes it as "lncRNA (ENSMODG00000029953.2)". Lineage: Eukaryota; Metazoa; Chordata; Mammalia; Didelphimorphia; Didelphidae. The record is from RNAcentral.
GCCAACUGGGAGUGGCAGUUGGGUCUUGUGACUAGCACUUCCUGCCUGCCGGGGGCGGGGGGGGGGGAAGACUGGAGAGGACUGGCUUCCGGGUGUCAGAGGAGAGUGGAGCUUGUUCAGCCCAGUCUGGAGUGGCAUGCUCUUCUUGGUUCAGCCCAAAGACACAGGCUUCUAAAGAACUUUUCAAGUUCUACCUUACCCCAGCUUCUAUUGAUGCCAAAAUGUAAAGGAAUCACACCACAGUUUCAAAUGGAAACAAGGAAAAUGCCAUGCAACCAUCAUCUGUGCAUAUACUCCCAUCAGUAAGAACCCUGUUGAAAUGAAAGAAAAUUUUUAGGAAGAACUGAAGACCUUCAUAAUCAGUGCACUGAAAAAGGACAAGUUUCUAAUUUGGAGUGACUUUAGCAUCAGAGUAGACACAAAUUAUCUGACAAAGCAGAGAUUCGCUGAGAGAAAUGGAGGUGGAAACCACAGCAAAGAUCACUUACUACUGAAGACUUAUGUGUUUCAUGGCCUUCUUAUCACCAACACUGUCUUCUGUUUACCUAAGCAUAAUAAAACUGUGAAUGCAUCCUUGCA